AUUGAACGCUGGCGGCAGGCCUAACACAUGCAAGUCGAGCGGAGCGGCGAACGGGUGAGUAACGCGUGAGUAACUGCCCCCCUCUCUGGGAUAACAGUUGGAAACGGCUGCUAAUACCGGAUAGUGGGGGAUGGCUCGCGCCCUAUCAGCUUGUUGGUGGGGUAGUGGCCUACCAAGGCGACGACGGGUAGCCGGCCUGAGAGGGCGACCGGCCACAUUGGGCGGAGAUACGGACCAAACUACAACGGGAGGCAGCAGGGGGGAAUAUUGCACAAUGGGGGAAAGCCUGAUGCAGCAACGCCGCGUGGGGGAUGACGGCCUGCGGGUUGUAAACCGCUUUCAGCCAUGACGCGGUAGUGGCAGAAGAAGCACCGGCUAACUACGUGCCAGCAGCCGCGGUAAUAC
RNAcentral lists this ribosomal RNA (405 nucleotides) under uncultured bacterium. RNAcentral's name for it is "partial 16S ribosomal RNA". It matches the Rfam family "Bacterial small subunit ribosomal RNA", at positions 29 to 526 of the family's 1533-position model. The record is from RNAcentral.